This 438-nucleotide ribosomal RNA is filed under the name uncultured bacterium. RNAcentral's name for it is "bacterial SSU rRNA". It matches the Rfam family "Bacterial small subunit ribosomal RNA", at positions 340 to 773 of the family's 1533-position model. The record is from RNAcentral.
UACGGGAGGCAGCAGGGGGAAUAUUGCACAAUGGGCGCAAGCCUGAUGCAGCCAUGCCGCGUGUAUGAAGAAGGCCUUCGGGUUGUAAAGUACUUUCAGUCGUGAGGAAGGUGUUAAGGUUAAUAACCUUAGCAAUUGACGUUAGCGACAGAAGAAGCACCGGCUAACUCCGUGCCAGCAGCCGCGGUAAUACGGAGGGUGCGAGCGUUAAUCGGAAUUACUGGGCGUAAAGGGCACGCAGGCGGUUAAUUAAGUUGGAUGUGAAAUCCCCGGGCUUAACCUGGGAAUGGCAUUCAAGCUGGUUAGCUAGAGUCUUGUAGAGGGGGUAGAAUUCCGAUGUGUAGCGGUGAAAUGCGUAGAGAUGUGGAGGAAUACCGGUGGCGAAGGCGGCCCCUGGACAAAGGCUGACGCUCAUGUGCGAAAGCGUGGGGAGCAAAC